CGGCGGACGGGUGAGUAAUGCCUAGGAAUCUGCCUGGUAGUGGGGGACAACGUUUCGAAAGGAACGCUAAUACCGCAUACGUCCUACGGGAGAAAGCAGGGGACCUUCGGGCCUUGCGCUAUCAGAUGAGCCUAGGUCGGAUUAGCUAGUUGGUGAGGUAAUGGCUCACCAAGGCGACGAUCCGUAACUGGUCUGAGAGGAUGAUCAGUCACACUGGAACUGAGUACUACGGUUCCAGACUCCUACGGGAGGCAGCAGUA
RNAcentral lists this ribosomal RNA (260 nucleotides) under uncultured Pseudomonas sp. RNAcentral's name for it is "partial 16S ribosomal RNA". It matches the Rfam family "Bacterial small subunit ribosomal RNA", at positions 96 to 355 of the family's 1533-position model. The record is from RNAcentral. Lineage: Bacteria; Pseudomonadati; Pseudomonadota; Gammaproteobacteria; Pseudomonadales; Pseudomonadaceae.